This 106-nucleotide transfer RNA is filed under the name Talaromyces marneffei ATCC 18224. Its description in RNAcentral is "tRNA-Val". Lineage: Eukaryota; Fungi; Ascomycota; Eurotiomycetes; Eurotiales; Trichocomaceae. The record is from RNAcentral.
GGCCGGUUGGAGUAGCUGGUUAUCUCGUAUCGUUAACAGGUCAUGUAUUAAACAUUAUACAUGUCUUCAUCCGAUAAGGUCGCCGGAUCGAGCCCGGCACUGGUCA